GCCACCUGAAAUUUCCUGACACAUGUUAACAAAAGCCAUUGUCUUUUACCAUCUAUUUGAGAAGCUUCCAAACUCAUACCUAUGCCUGCAUCUGUCAUCUCAUCUUUUCAUUUGUACAGAAGUGGUAGUACUUGGCUGUAAUGAUUAUGCCAUCCUAAGCUAUACAUAUUUGGAGUAGAAGUUGCGUUGUCUAGAGGACCCUUGGAGUUACUCUACUUUCAUAUUUGGAGAAUACAUCUACCUAGAUUUUUUUUCCAUUUCAUUUACAACCAUAUUAAUGUGCCAUCUACAGAUUAUUGCCAAAAAGUUGUACGGUAAAACUAUUCAUUGAAUAUUUCCUUUGGUCAGUUUGUGUAGGGAGCAUGAAUUCAAGUUGUGUUGUUCUUUUGUUAAAAAGUGUCCGUACUUUAGUUGUGUUGUGGACAUGGAAGAUUUGGUAGAUAACAUUGACUAUGUGCAUUCUAUUAUUUUGAUUUUUAUAUUGUUUCUUAUUGUGAAAUUUUUUGACUUGGAGAGUGCUAAAAAUUAUCGGAUUGUUAAACUUGGGAUUGACUCUACCAAAAAUGGCUUAAGUCAAUUGGGUUUGGCUUUCCCUUACUUAUAUUCUCUUUUAAUUCUUUAUAACUAACCAUAAUGGGACUCCAACACUCUCCCUCAAGUGCAACUGACUAUAAAUAAGUUUCUAGAUGCAAUUGUCACUUGUAUUACAUGUGAUGGCUCAUAUAGAGUCUUGCCUCUUCUUUUGUAGCUUGGCUCUACA
Molecule: unclassified non-coding RNA, 760 nt
Filed under: Hevea brasiliensis (rubber tree)
Lineage: Eukaryota; Viridiplantae; Streptophyta; Magnoliopsida; Malpighiales; Euphorbiaceae
Source: RNAcentral